UACGUAGGUGACAAGCGUUAUCCGGAUUACUGGGUGUAAAGGGCGUGUAGGCGGGUUUGCAAGUCAGAUGUGAAACCCCGGGGCUUAACUCCGGAGCUGCAUCUGAAACUGCAUACCUUGAGUACCGGAGAGGAAAGUGGAAUACCCAGUGUAGCGGUGAAAUACGUAGAGAUUGGGAGGAACACCAGUGGCGAAGGCGGCUUUCUGGACGAUAACUGACGCUGAGGCGCGAAAGUGUGGGGAGUAAACA
Molecule: ribosomal RNA, 250 nt
Filed under: uncultured prokaryote
Description: partial 16S ribosomal RNA
Rfam family: Bacterial small subunit ribosomal RNA
Source: RNAcentral